GAUGAACGCUAGCGGGAGGCCUAACACAUGCAAGCCGAGCGGUAGAGUUCCUUCGGGAACUUGAGAGCGGCGUACGGGUGCGUAACACGUGUGCAACCUACCUUUAUCUGGGGGAUAGCCUUUCGAAAGGAAGAUUAAUACCCCAUAAUAUAAUGAUUGGCAUCAAUUAUUAUUGAAAACUCCGGUGGAUAGAGAUGGGCACGCGCAAGAUUAGAUAGUUGGUGAGGUAACGGCUCACCAAGUCAAUGAUCUUUAGGGGUCCUGAGAGGGAGAUCCCCCACACUGGUACUGAGACACGGACCAGACUCCUACGGGAGGCAGCAGUGAGGAAUAUUGAACAAUGGGUGAAAGCCUGAUCCAGCCAUCCCGCGUGAAGGAUGACGGUCCUAUGGAUUGUAAACUUCUUUUGUACAGGGAUAAACCUACUCUCGUGAGGGUAGCUGAAGGUACUGUACGAAUAAGCACCGGCUAACUCCGUG
This 479-nucleotide ribosomal RNA is filed under the name uncultured bacterium. RNAcentral's name for it is "partial 16S ribosomal RNA". It matches the Rfam family "Bacterial small subunit ribosomal RNA", at positions 28 to 507 of the family's 1533-position model. The record is from RNAcentral.